RNAcentral lists this long non-coding RNA (229 nucleotides) under Gossypium barbadense (sea-island cotton). RNAcentral's name for it is "long non-coding RNA (GBAR_LNC008815)". Lineage: Eukaryota; Viridiplantae; Streptophyta; Magnoliopsida; Malvales; Malvaceae. The record is from RNAcentral.
GAUAUAGAGAUAUCGAUAUCGGUGUAGUUCCUAGCACUAACUCAAUGCCAAACUCAACCUUUCAGAUCGGUAGUAAACCCAGUAACUCUUCAAGAAACACAUCCGGAUAUUCACACACAACUGGCACUGAUUCAAUCUUAUUUUCAAUCACUUUUGUAUCAAGCACAUAAGCAAAAUAAGCUUCGCAACCCUUUCUCACAUAUUUCUAAGCUAAUAUCAAUGAAAUCAC